GACGAACGCUGGCGGCGUGCCUAAUACAUGCAAGUAGAACGCUGAAGGAGGAGCUUGCUUCUCCGGAUGAGUUGCGAACGGGUGAGUAACGCGUAGGUAACCUGCCUGGUAGCGGGGGAUAACUAUUGGAAACGAUAGCUAAUACCGCAUAACAGUAGAUAUCGCAUGAUAUGUGCUUAAAAGGUGCAAUUGCACCACUACCAGAUGGACCUGCGUUGUAUUAGCUAGUUGGUGAGGUAACGGCUCACCAAGGCGACGAUACAUAGCCGACCUGAGAGGGUGAUCGGCCACACUGGGACUGAGACACGGCCCAGACUCCUACGGGAGGCAGCAGUAGGGAAUCUUCGGCAAUGGACGGAAGUUGACCGAGCAACCCCGCGUGAGUGAAGAAGGUUUUCGGAUCGUAAAGCUCUGUUGUAAGAGAAGAACGAGUG
This 434-nucleotide ribosomal RNA is filed under the name Streptococcus sp. oral taxon 487. RNAcentral describes it as "bacterial SSU rRNA". It matches the Rfam family "Bacterial small subunit ribosomal RNA", at positions 28 to 455 of the family's 1533-position model. Lineage: Bacteria; Bacillati; Bacillota; Bacilli; Lactobacillales; Streptococcaceae. The record is from RNAcentral.